This is a long non-coding RNA of Spinacia oleracea (spinach), 2639 nucleotides long. RefSeq lists it as uncharacterized. The transcript has 8 exons. The record is from RefSeq and is a predicted model, not a curated record. Lineage: Eukaryota; Viridiplantae; Streptophyta; Magnoliopsida; Caryophyllales; Amaranthaceae.
CUCGAACAUUCCACUCCAUUUCAAAGCAGACCAAAAUCCAUCUUCCUUACUGUUCAUGAAUCAUGAACCCUAAAUCCAUAAAAAAAUCCCCAAUUCUCUUUCAAUUACAAAUCACAACGAAUAGAAAAUCCUCCCGCCGGAGCUCUUAGUAUCCAUCACAGAACGCCUUGAAAUCCGGGAUGAAAUCCUGGAUUUCCGGCGAGUCUUUGAAAAAUGGCGAUCAUCUACCUCUUCAUCAUCUCUCUCCUCGCCGGAAAUGCAGCGAUAUGAUGUGGAAAUGCGGAAUUCAAUCUCGAAAAUGAUGGGAAUUUCACCGGCUCUCUUGGUAUCCAUCGCGUACCGCCUUAUGAAGUCCUCGACUUCCGACGAGCUUGUAAAAAUGACGAUCAUCAGCCACCAUGGUUAUGCACCGUUCCGAAUCAAUCCCCGGUGAUUCGAUCAAUUCAUUACUCGAAAUGUUAUCGAGGGGAUAUGAGGGAUGUCGGAGACGAUCUUGGGAUUGCUGUAUCUCAAUUUGAAGGCGGUGAUUGUCAACUUUGGUAAAAUUAUUCUCAACUCUGUGCUUUGAAAUAUAUUUUCCUUUUACUAGUAGUUGAUUACAGUGGUUCAAGUUAAUUUACUAUUGUUACACACUUUUGUUAAUGGUACAUUUAUAAUAAACUUGACAAUUUCUAUGUAAUGCAUCAAUAAUAACUUUAACAGCAUGAAAUAAAUGAAAGCAACUUCAUGAUUUGUUUGGGAUAAUUAAAUCACUUUGAACAUUAAACAACAUAACUGGUUUAUGCACCUUAGGGAUACCCUCACAUUCAGUAUCGCUGAACUCUUCUUCCUGUUAUCAAUACCAACAAAACAUUGUCUUAUUGAUUGAGAAACUCGUUCGAAAAACUCUGCAUAAUCAUGAGAAUAAGUCCCUUUUCUCUUUUACCUUUAACAGUUAAAUGAAAAAAGUGAUAUUUAAUCUCAAGACUCUGCUGAUUUCUUUUUGAACGAGGCUUUUAGGCGUUUAUACACUGUUUUUGAUGUGGUAUUGACAGCGGGUUUCAGAGGAUAUUCAAAGUGGUAGUGUUCUUGAUGUGCAUAAACUAGUUAUGCUGUUUGGCCAAACCGCAGAAAUACUCCAAACUAAUAUUUAGUCCUAUUAAGACCAAAUGAACUUUUGCUUCUUAUCUAUUUCAUGUAAUUAAAUUAAUAAUUGAUGCAUUGUGCAGAAAAUUGUCAUUUAAGUUCUUAUGAAUGCUUAGGAUUGCCAUUUUAAUGUUUCAUAACUAAUUUGUCCUUGAUUGUUAAUCUCGUGAGAGGCUAUUUCCUCUGUUCAAAACAAAGUGAUACCCAAUGUUCUUUGUCACGAAUUAAUUUAUGUUUCACAAACAAUAUUAGGGAUAAGUAGAUGACCGUCAUACAUUUCUAGGCUUCCACUAUUAAUACACAAGAAAAAAGGUUAAGACUCUAUCAUACUUUUAAAGUAAAAUAUACUUAGGGUUUAGGGUCUUAACAUAAUGUUCAAUGUUAAAGAUUAUAAGCCUAAUAUACUGGUACUUUGAUGAUAUUUUCGAGGGGCUGUCGGUGAGAUGAUGACGAUCUUAUGAUUGCUGUUUUCCAAUUUGAAGAUGGUGAAUGUGGAUCUAUAACAUUAUAUUUUGUUAUGGCCGCCCCCAGCUCUCCGCUGACAAAGUUUGUCUAAAAUGGGGCUGUCGGUGAGAUGAUGACGAUCUUAUGAUUGCUGUUUUUCGACUUGAAGAUGAUGAAUGUGGAUUUAUGACAUUGUAUUCAGGCUAUUGUAUUGUGUUAUGGCCAACCCCUGCUCUCUGCUGACAAAUGUUUGUCUAAAACAGUUUUCUUGGGUAUCCUGCAAAGUAAUCACACUGAUACUGGAGUUAAUGAAUGGGGGAUUGAUGAAAAUAUUGAGAAGGCCUUAGUUGAUAAAUGUCAGAAAAGAUUCAGUGGACAAGGUCUUGAUUUAGGCAAGAAGCAAUCAAUUUAGAAGUGAGAAAUUGAUGAUAAUGAGAAAGUGUAUUUAAGCCAAGGAGCAUGUAAUGCAUCGAGUAUAGGGGAAGGGCACAUUAGGAAAUGCCAUCAUAAUUCAGUUAGAGGUAGCUUGAGCAACAAGUUAUGAUAUAGAGCACCAAGGUGAUGAACUAUAGAAAGCAGUUAAAGGUUCCUUGUAAAGAGCUCAAAGUAUAUAAUCCAAUUGGAGAUGUGGUCAAUGAGCUUUGGAACUGAAAGGAAGGACAAAGGGCUACAGUGUAUGAGGUUGCAAAAUGUCUUUAUGAUUCGCCAGAAGUGAAGAUGAUUCUUUCUAUUUGAUAAGAUCCAAUCGGAGAAGAUGACUGCGGAGUUUCCAAAGUAAAUAUUCUGUUUUAAAAAGCGCCCAAAAAAAAAAUUGAAAAAUAGUGGUUGUCAAGGCUCGAACCCCGUACCGCAGCGUGGAUGAAUGAAAGAGUUAUUGAUAAUGCUAGUAACCAUUGUGACAGUGAGGCAAAGCCAUUGGCAAUUGUCAUGCAAAUUUCUAGUUAAGCACUCCUUGUAGUUCUAAACGUUAAUGAGUAAUUAAUUUUACGUUGUAUAUCAAUAUUGACUCCCCAUCAUUGUGUUGUACGUUUUUAUAUAAUGUAUGAUGAUACCUCCCCUAUUAUGUUAUA